Molecule: ribosomal RNA, 443 nt
Filed under: uncultured bacterium
Lineage: Bacteria
Description: partial 16S ribosomal RNA
Rfam family: Bacterial small subunit ribosomal RNA
Source: RNAcentral
ACUACGGGUGGCUGCAGUGAGGAAUAUUGGUCAAUGGGCUUACGCCUGAACCAGCCAAGUCGCGUGAGGGAAGAAGUCUUUCGGGUUGUAAACUUCUUUUCUCAGGGACGAAGACAGUGACGGUACCUGAGGAAUAAGCCACGGCUAACUACGUACCAGCAGCCGCGGUACUACGUAGGUGGCAAGCGUUAUCCGGAUUGAUUGGGUGUAAAGGGCGUGUAGGCGGGAGCGCAAGUCAGAUGGGAAAACUCAGGGCUCAACCCUGGGCCUGCAUUUGAAACUGUGUUUCUUGAGUGCUGGAGAGGCAAGCGGAAUUCAGUGUGUAGCGGUGAAAUGCGUAGAUAUACGGAGGAACACCAGUGGCGAAGGCGGAUUGCUGAACAGUAACUGACGCUGAGGCGCGAAAGCGUGGGGAGCAAACAGGAUUAGAUACCCGAGUAGUC